GAUGAAGAACGUAUCGAAAUGCGAUAAGUAAUGUGAAUUGCAGAAUUCAGUGAAUCAUCGAGUCUUUGAACGCACAUUGCGCCCCCUGGUAUUCCGGGGGGCAUGCCUGUCCGAGCGUCAUUGCUGCCCUCAAGCACGGCUUGUGUGUUGGGCCCCCGUCCCCGGUUUCCCCCGGGGACGGGCCCGAAAGGCAGCGGCGGCACCGCGUCCGGUCCUCGAGCGUAUUGGGCUUUGUCACCCGCUCUGUAGGCCCGGCCGGCGCCAGCCGACACCCAACUUUAUUUCUAAGGUUGACCUCGGAUCAGGUAGGGAUACCCGCUGAACUUAAGCAUAUCAAUAAGCGGAGGA
Molecule: unclassified non-coding RNA, 348 nt
Filed under: soil metagenome
Description: partial contains 5.8S ribosomal RNA, internal transcribed spacer 2, and large subunit ribosomal RNA
Rfam family: 5.8S ribosomal RNA (bases 1-120)
Source: RNAcentral